UCCGAGAUGUUGGUUUUGCUGCCGAAAAUUUUGACUAGUUGAUCCUCAUAAUCGUCGAUAUUACGUUUCAUUAGUUCCAUACACGGGCCGAGCAGGCGCUCGAAAGCUUCAACGUCCAAAACUGCAAGCGAGGAGAACACAGUAGUUUCGUAGGCCGAAGCAGCACGUGGUUUAUGCGUUACGAGUGCCAGUUCGCCUAAAUAACCGCCGGCCGGAACGCGAUUAAUCUGCGAUAUUAAAGGUAACGGGUGAGAGAGGAGCGGGACUUUUCUUGGCGCAUGCCGCCGUGGAAACGGCGUUUGGCAUUUCACGGAACUAAAUUAACGUGUAUAUAUAUGUAUAUAUAAAUGCACCUCGAUUUCACGGCCGUUCUCGCCGAGUAUAGUGAUCCUGACGAUGCCGUCCUCGACGAAGUACAUUCCGUCCGCCGUGUCGCCCUGCCUGAUUAUUUGCUCACCAUCUGAAUACUGUUUUGGUACAAGGGCGUCCGCUAAAUUCAUACGCUCGUAAGACUAAAAGGGAAUUUUUACGAUUACACGUGCGAACGUACUGCGUCUGAGUCUCGUGAUGAGGUUGACGCGUUUUGAAGAAUGUUUUUCUGCGCAGAAACUUAUUUCCCAAAUAAUAAAUACAUCAUGAGACACAACUGUCCAUAAGAAAUGUGCACACGAAGACAAUUUCCGAAUAAAUCGAUAUUCUGCAGACUGUGACAGUCUAUUCAUGCACUACAAGGAAUAUAGUAAAAUUGAGAAGAAUUCAUUUGAGAAGAAAGGCACAAGCACAAAGGCUAUUAAAAGACAGGUAUGUGCGACACUUGCCUCGAGGGAUUUCAACAUCGGCACUUUGUUGAUGAGGUCCUCGUACAUUUUGCGCUUUUUGUACGCGGAUUUGAGGAGAAUACGCCGGAAAGUUUGUCUGUCCAUGGCCCAAAGUGUGCCGGGUGUGAUGGCUUUUACAGUAGCUGCUCUGGGCAUGUUGUAUAGAAGGGCCAGUUCUCCGAAAGCGCCGCGAUUAUCCUAGGAGCUAAACCGGCCGAGAGUCUGUGCAUCGCCUCUUGGUUCAUUGGAACUUCCCGCUGAAGGGAGAAGCCCAUCGAUACGUUAACGGUAAUAUAAAGAAAAAGUAUUACCUCUCGAUCACAUAAAAGUUGUCACCAUCGUCG
Molecule: long non-coding RNA, 1162 nt
Organism: Odontomachus brunneus
Lineage: Eukaryota; Metazoa; Arthropoda; Insecta; Hymenoptera; Formicidae
Exons: 4
Source: RefSeq, a predicted model, not a curated record